This 494-nucleotide ribosomal RNA is filed under the name uncultured bacterium. Its description in RNAcentral is "partial 16S ribosomal RNA". It matches the Rfam family "Bacterial small subunit ribosomal RNA", at positions 28 to 507 of the family's 1533-position model. The record is from RNAcentral.
GACGAACGCUGGCGGCGUGCUUAACACAUGCAAGUCGAACGGAAAGGCCUGCUUUCCCUUGUGGAUUGCGGGUACUCGAGUGGCGAACGGGUGAGUAACACGUGAGUGAUCUGCCCCCAACUUGGGUAUAAGCCUGGGAAACUGGGUCUAAUUCCCGAUAGGACUGCAGGGUGGUGCCUGUGGUGGAAAACGAUUUUCUAGUGGUUGGGGAUGAGCUCGCGGCCUAUCAGCUUGUUGGUGGGGUAAUGGCCUACCAAGGCGGCGACGGGUAGCCGGCCUGAGAGGGUGGACGGCCACAUUGGGACUGAGAUACGGCCCAGACUCCUACGGGAGGCAGCAGUGGGGAAUAUUGCACAAUGGGCGGAAGCCUGAUGCAGCGACGCCGCGUGGGGGAUGACGGCCUUCGAGUUGUAAACUCCUUUCGACCGCGAGGAAGCCACCUGGUUGGAAGGGUGGUGACGGUAGUGGUAGAAGAAGCACCGGCUAACUACGUG